This is a long non-coding RNA of Gekko japonicus, 103 nucleotides long. RefSeq lists it as uncharacterized. The transcript is spliced from 2 exons. The record is from RefSeq and is a predicted model, not a curated record. Lineage: Eukaryota; Metazoa; Chordata; Lepidosauria; Squamata; Gekkonidae.
CCUGAGCUUUAUUAGUAUUCCAGGCAAAGGCCAGACAGGGCCAUAUAACUGAGGUUGAAAGACAAGUUGCAGAGGCAACAGAGCUCCCUGCCGCCGCCGCCCC